CUGCACUUGUGCACACGUUCACUGCGUUCGCGACGGACAGUUGGAAUUCGUUGUCGCUGCGUUGCGGAUGCUCAAAUCGGAUGUGCAAGCUACCAAUUUUCGCAUAUGCCACAUACAAAUGUGUGUGUGUGCGUGUAGGCAAACGGGCGUAUUGGUAACGGUUAUUGUGCUAAUUUCGUACGGAAUUUUAUUUUAAAUGCGAAAAUUUACACAUUUGUGUUAAAAUCGUACGGAACUUAGGAAUUGCAAAAAAAUUUUGACGAAUAUUUAAAUUUUAGAGGUGUGUGCGAAAUAUUACGAGUGUGUGUCGGCAUACGUGCUGUAUUUCCAGCCGUGCUAGGCAGAAGUCGGAAAUUAGGCGUGAACAGUUAUUCCUGUCACAAGGCAAUUUUAGCAGCCUGACUGGCUGGCUAAUAUUCUGGUCAGCGAUUUGCUCAGCUGUUGUUGAUUUUUAAAGUGAUUUGCUACUGUGCUUGCGAUUUAAAAAAAUUUUUGAAAUAAAAAUUCAUGUGUGGAGUAUUUUUCGAAAUGCUGAGUGAAAAAAAUUUAAUUUUUGAAAACACAAAUAUAUGUUUAUAAUGCUUAUUGUAUAUGAAUAUCAAAAUCAGCAAUUCUAAUUCGCGCUAUAAUUGACGAAAAACAAAUUUUUUCUACAACAACGAAAGCAAAUUAAAGCAAAAGGAAAUAAAUAAAAAAUAUAAUUUCUCUACCAAAACAACACUCAUAAAAGGAAAGAAAAAAAUAUUUUACGCUAAAUCAUAAAUUUUAAUUCGCGUUAUAAUUAGGCAAAUCAUUUAUCUCUACGAAAACAUAAACAUAAUUUAAAAUUUUUUUUAAAUAUAUAUAAUAUACAUAAUAUUAUACAAAGAAAAUUUUUUAAUAUUUUUUUUUUGCUUAUUAAACACCUUACCUUUAUGGUGAGAACACUAAACGCAAAAAAACAAUUAACAAAAGCAACAACAAAGUAUGUUUUUUUUUUUGUUGCAAUUUUCCUACACAUUUAAUCCAUUAAGUGUUGCAAAUCGCACACAAGCGUGAGCAACCUACCCCAAGCUAUUGAGGUGACGCUCAGGCAAACGCAAUAAAACAAAGUUAAUAAGCUCAGCACGCCAUUUAAAAGCAGAAUACAGGCAAAAAAUCGCAACAAAAGCAAAAAUAAUAAAGAACCGAAAAAAUUACAAAAAAAAACAGCAAAAACCAACAAAAACAAAGAAAAGCGCAACACUAAGCGGCUUUGCCACACGGCGGAAAUAGCACCAUAGUGCUCAUAUAGACCUAUAGUCAACAGUUUAAGAAGACUACUUGGUAUAACUAAUUGAUCACCUCUUCAUUAACAUCGCUUGAAACUGUAGAGAUCAAAGCGAACUAAAUAACUGUACUGUAAAUAAAGAUCAAACAGCUCACCAACGAAGCUGGCAGUCGUGCAGUAGCGAUCGUUAACGCCACCACCUCCAAACGCCAUCGCCACCACCUCAUGGCUAGCAUCCGCUGCAGCAGCAAGAUACAGAGUGACGAGUGUACAGCGUUCGGCAAAUGUCGUUGGCGUCGUGAUAGUCAGUGUAAUCGGCGAGAGUAAUCGUGUGCACGUCGGUGUCUCCAAUGCGCUGCGCAACGUCGUCGUCGUCAAGUUUGCUCAAGCAGUUCGUGUCUGUGUAUUGUUUUUGUUUGCUCAAGCACUUUGCAACCAACUACAGACAUUGUUUUUGUUAAUUUUCGACUUUUGGCACAUUGGCGGCUGCCGCUGCCUUCGUCAUUUCUGCUGCUGCUUGCUCCAAUCGCCGGUGGAGAACUGAACCGAGCAACUGAAUUUUUCGGCUGACUUUGUCAACAGGCAUGGCGCUCCGACAGCGCUAGUACGAAUUCAUCUACCGACGCGCGUUGUCCGUUAUAGCGGUUGUGCGGCAUUUUGUUGCGUGUGUUGGUACAUAGUCAUGGUGUAGGCGAGCAAACGUAAUUUCUUAUACGUACAAGUACUUUUCUUCGCCUGCGAACCGCAGGAAUACGCAGGAGGUUUAAAAUUUUGUGUCGCGCAUGCGUUAAGAAAAAAAGUGAAUAUUGUGAAUUGCAAGUAAAAAUAUGCGUGUAAAUGGAAUGCAAAAAAGCUACCGAUUAACGUUGCUUGGGUUUCGUGCCCUACUGUCCGGGGUGUCAUCAGUGAUUUGAGUGUAACUUUGACCAAAAGAAAAGAUUGCAAAAAUCAGCGAAAAGAUACGAACUUGUUGGGCGAACUUAAUGAGCGCUCUUAUAAAUGUAUGUAAUGUAAAGUGAAUUUUGUGUAGCACAAAGCAAUAAAUUUAUCAAAAUUCCCAGAAAAAAAUUUUUUUUGCGAAAGAUCAAAACGAAUUCGUAACGAGCAGAAUUACAUAACGAAAAGCACAUAUGAAUGUAUGUGUGUCAAUAAAAAAUAUAAUAUAACUGACGAAAAAUUUAAGUAAUUACGAAAUUUACGAGUGAAUUUAAGUAAAAAUUGUUUGAAAAAAUAUUAUAAUUAAUUUAAAAAAUAUUUAAAAAGGUAUUGUAACUAAAUUAAAUUAAAAAAAAAAAAAUUUUGUACACAAAA
Molecule: non-coding RNA, 2560 nt
Organism: Bactrocera oleae (olive fruit fly)
Lineage: Eukaryota; Metazoa; Arthropoda; Insecta; Diptera; Tephritidae
Source: RefSeq, a predicted model, not a curated record